UGUAUCCCAGAACUUGAGAGAUGGAGGAG
This 29-nucleotide non-coding RNA is filed under the name Cricetulus griseus (Chinese hamster). Lineage: Eukaryota; Metazoa; Chordata; Mammalia; Rodentia; Cricetidae. The record is from RNAcentral.